UACAGAGGGUGCAAGCGUUGUUCGGAAUUACUGGGCGUAAAGCGCGUGUAGGCGGCUUCGUAAGUUGGAUGUGAAAUCCCACGGCUCAACCGUGGACGUGCAUCCAAAACUACGUCGCUGGAGUCUCGGAGAGGAAGGUGGAAUGCUUGGUGUAGAGGUGAAAUUCGUAGAUAUCAAGCAGAACACCUGCGGCGAAGGCGGCCUUCUGGACGAUGACUGACGCUGAGACGCGAAAGCGUGGGAGCAAACAGG
RNAcentral lists this ribosomal RNA (252 nucleotides) under uncultured bacterium. RNAcentral's name for it is "partial 16S ribosomal RNA". It matches the Rfam family "Bacterial small subunit ribosomal RNA", at positions 524 to 776 of the family's 1533-position model. The record is from RNAcentral.